Molecule: ribosomal RNA, 254 nt
Filed under: uncultured bacterium
Lineage: Bacteria
Description: partial 16S ribosomal RNA
Rfam family: Bacterial small subunit ribosomal RNA
Source: RNAcentral
UACGGGGGGCAAGCGUUGUUCGGAAUUACUGGGCGUAAAGGGCUCGUAGGCGGCCAACUAAGUCCGACGUGAAAUCCCCAGGCUUAACCUGGGAACUGCGUCGGAUACUGGAUGGCUUGAAUUCGGGAGAGGGAUGCAGAAUUCCAGGUGUAGCGGUGAAAUGCGUAGAGAUCAGGAGGAACACCCCGUGGCGAAGGCGGCCCUCUGGCUCGACCCUGACGCUGAGGCGCGAAAAGCGUGGGGGAGCGAACGGG